GUAGGUGGCGAGUGGCGGACGGGUGAGGAAUACAUGGGAAUCUGCCCAGUCGUGGGGGAUAACGUAUGGAAACGUACGCUAAUACCGCAUGCGCCCUUCGGGGGAAAGCCGGGGACCUUCGGGCCUGGCGCGAUUGGAUGAGCCCAUGUCGGAUUAGCUAGUUGGGGGGGUGAAGGCCCACCAAGGCGACGAUCCGUAGCUGGUCUGAGAGGAUGAUCAGCCACACUGGAACUGAGACACGGUCCAGACUCCUACGGGAGGCAGCAGUAGGGAAUAUUGGACAAUGGGCGCAAGCCUGAUCCAGCCAUGCCGCGUGUGUGAAGAAGGCCUUCGGGUUGUAAACUGCUUUUGUACGGAACGAAAAGGUCUGCCCUAAUACGGCGGGCCCAUGACGGUACCGUAAGAAUAAGCACCGGCUAACUACGUGCCAGCAGCCGCGGUAAUACGUAGGGUGCGAGCGUUAAUCGGAAUUACUGGGCGUAAAGCGUGCGCAGGCGGUGAUGUAAGACAGUUGUGAAAUCCCCGGGCUCAACCUGGGA
RNAcentral lists this ribosomal RNA (539 nucleotides) under uncultured Gammaproteobacteria bacterium. Its description in RNAcentral is "bacterial SSU rRNA". It matches the Rfam family "Bacterial small subunit ribosomal RNA", at positions 84 to 619 of the family's 1533-position model. Lineage: Bacteria; Pseudomonadati; Pseudomonadota; Gammaproteobacteria. The record is from RNAcentral.